UUUUUUCAAAAAUUUUAAGGCCAUACUCACAGCAUAUGAAGGUUCCCAGGCUAGGGGUCGAAUCAGAGCAGUAGCCGCCAGCAUAGCCACAGCCACAGAAGUGCCAGAUCUGAGCCGCGUCUGCAACCUACACCACAGCUCACAUUAACACCGGAUCCUUAACCCACUGAGCGAGGCCCAGGAGCAAACCUGUGUCCUCAUGCAUGCUAGUCAGAUUUAUUUCUGCUGAGCCACAAAGGGAAUUCCUAGAAGGUUGGAACUUUCAGUCCUACCACUUAGACGUCCAGAGAGGAGGAGGGCUGAAAACAGAACUUAACCAAGUGGAUAAUGAUAAAAUUCCAAUGAAUCUCUAGAAACCCAGAGCCCAAGGAGCUUCCUAGUUGGUGAACACUUUGAUGUGCCAGGAAAGAGAAAUGUCCUAAGUCCAAGGGGAGAGACCAAAGAAGCUCCUUAUCCAGGAUCCUAUAUAUCCUAUAUAUCCUAUAUAUCUUUUUCAUUUGGCUGUUCCUGAGUUUUAUCCUUUAUAAUAAAGCUAACUGUACAUAUAUCACUUUCAGGGAGUUCUGGAAGUUAUUCUCGCAAAUUAACAAACCUGAGAUGGUCAUAAGAACCCUUGAACUUAGCUGAGGAAUGAGCUGUCCUAAGACUUACUAAAGGGAAGGCAGUCUUCAGGAAAACACUGCCCUCAACUUGUGGGGUCUGGCAUUAACUUAGGGUCGUUAGCAUCAGAAUUGAAUUGAAUUGCAUGAUGGCCAGGUGGUGUCAGAGAGUUGCUAUAUCAAUUGAACAGUAACAAUCUCUCAUUGUUAACCUAUCAACUAAAUUAACUUUUUUCCAACAUGGUAUAUUUUCAUUAAGAAAAAAAAAAUCAGGAGUUCCUGUUGAGGCUCAGUGGUUAAUGAAUCAGAUUAAGAACCAUGAGCCACAACGUGAACUCCUAGAUUUCAACAUUUUUAACCUCAAUGUAGGAAAAUGCAUCAAAGAGGUUAAGCAAUUCCUUCAAUUUCUAAUAAAGGAGAAAAAUAGUAUUAUCUGAAUCAAAUUAUGCCCAGAGAGCACAAUCAAAUCUGUUUUUAAAUUUUGUCAAAUGGAAAAACCUGUUACUUAAAAAUUACAUUCCAGUUUUCUAAUUAAAUUCAUGUGAAACCACAGAACAAAACUUUAAUUUCUUUGGACUUCUUUCUUAAAGAAUGGUUCCUUGAAAUUCAAUUUCCGAAUUAACGUAUAAGGAAUGACACCCAAAUUUUAAAAUUAACAUGCUUUUCUCAGUUAACUUUUUGCAACAGUUUGAGGUGGAAUAAAGGAAAAAAAAAGCCAAUAAAUCAAAAAUUUUGUUAAAAAUACUUUACAAAUAAGCUUAUGUCACUCUUUGAUAGAAUCUAAAAGGCUCCCCCAAAUUUUUUACGUACCCCAAACAGAAAUCAUAUUUAAACUCAGUCUAUUCAAACAGGCCCACCUCUUCCCUUAAGCAAGGUCUAAAUGUGAUC
Molecule: long non-coding RNA, 1487 nt
Filed under: Sus scrofa (pig)
Lineage: Eukaryota; Metazoa; Chordata; Mammalia; Artiodactyla; Suidae
Description: lncRNA (ENSSSCG00040000965.1)
Source: RNAcentral